AUACGUAGGGGGCAAGCGUUAACCGGAUUUACUGGGUGUAAAGGGAGCGUAGACGGAAGGCCAAGUCUGAUGUGAAAGCCCGCGGCUCAACUGCGGGACUGCAUUGGAAACUGGCCAUCUGGAGUGCAGGAGGGGUAAGCGGAAUUCCUAGUGUAGCGGUGAAAUGCGUAGAUAUUAGGAGGAACACCGGUGGCGAAGGCGGCUUACGGGACUGUAACUGACGUUGAGGCUCGAAAGCGUGGGGAGCAAACAGGAUUAGAUACCCUGGUGGUCCACGCCGUAAACGAUGAAUACUAGGUGUGGGGGGACUGACCCCCUCCGUGCCGCAGUUAACACAAUAAGUAUUCCACCUGGGGAGUACGGCCGCAAGGUUGAAACUCAAAUGAAUUGACGGGG
RNAcentral lists this ribosomal RNA (396 nucleotides) under uncultured bacterium. Its description in RNAcentral is "partial 16S ribosomal RNA". It matches the Rfam family "Bacterial small subunit ribosomal RNA", at positions 523 to 918 of the family's 1533-position model. The record is from RNAcentral.